This 615-nucleotide ribosomal RNA is filed under the name Onychiurus orientalis. RNAcentral's name for it is "partial 16S ribosomal RNA". It matches the Rfam family "Bacterial large subunit ribosomal RNA", at positions 1797 to 2770 of the family's 2925-position model. Lineage: Eukaryota; Metazoa; Arthropoda; Collembola; Poduromorpha; Onychiuridae. The record is from RNAcentral.
CGCCUGUUUAUCAAAAACAUUUCUUUUUGGGGGUAUAAAAAGUAAGACCUGCCCACUGAUAAAAUUUAAAGGGCCGCAGUAUUAUAACUGUGCUAAGGUAGCAUAAUCAUUAGUCUCUUGAUUAGAGAAUGGAAUGAAUGGUUUAAUGGAUAAAAACUUUAUUAAUAUUAAAAAUAGAAUUUAGGGAUAAAGUGAAAAUUCUUUAGUUUAUUAAAUAGACGAUAAGACCCUUUAGACCUUUAUUUAAAAUAAUUUGUUGGUGAAUUUUUUAUUUUAAGUUUAACUGGGGCAGUUUAAGAAUAUAAAAAUAUUCUUAUAAAAUCAUUUUGUUGAAAAUUUAAGAUCUUGAAUUUAGAAACGAAGAAAAAGGUACCUUAGGGAUAACAGCGUAAUUAAUUCGGAGAGUCCUUAUCGAUGAAUUAGUUUGCGACCUCGAUGUUGAAUUAAAAUUAUUAGGUAUAGCAGAUUAUAUCUACGUUAGUCUGUUCGACUAGAGAUUUUUACAUGAUUUGAGUUCAAACCGGUGUGAGCCAGGUUGGUUUCUAUCUUUUAACACAGAAAAAACUUUUUAGUACGAAAGGAUCGAAAGGUUUAAAAAUUUUAUCAAAAUAACUA